This 256-nucleotide unclassified non-coding RNA is filed under the name Hevea brasiliensis (rubber tree). The record is from RNAcentral. Lineage: Eukaryota; Viridiplantae; Streptophyta; Magnoliopsida; Malpighiales; Euphorbiaceae.
AGAGAGAGAGAGAGAGAGAGGUGUGUAUGCUCUGAGCAAUAUUUGCACAGUACUAACUAAUUACUUUGAAAGUGCUAUCCUCUCAGUCUCAACCAUGCACCGUGAUGCGGCCCUACAGAAAACUUAAAAGCUUCGGCUGUUCAUUUUCUGUGCAUUGAAUGUUUAAAAUGUUGUUCUCUACUUUUUUCCUUUGAAAUUCUCAUUGGUAUGCUAUCUGCUUUCUCCUCCUUGCAGAUGGCAGCAUCGUCAGCUUGCA